This 496-nucleotide ribosomal RNA is filed under the name uncultured bacterium. Its description in RNAcentral is "partial 16S ribosomal RNA". It matches the Rfam family "Bacterial small subunit ribosomal RNA", at positions 28 to 507 of the family's 1533-position model. The record is from RNAcentral.
GAUGAACGCUGGCGGCGUGCCUAAUACAUGCAAGUCGAGCGAACAGAUGAGGAGCUUGCUCCUCUGACGUUAGCGGCGGACGGGUGAGUAACACGUGGAUAACCUACCUAUAAGACUGGGAUAACUUCGGGAAACCGGAGCUAAUACCGGAUAAUAUAUUGAACCGCAUGGUUCAAUAGUGAAAGACGGUUUUGCUGUCACUUAUAGAUGGAUCCGCGCCGCAUUAGCUAGUUGGUAAGGUAACGGCUUACCAAGGCAACGAUGCGUAGCCGACCUGAGAGGGUGUUCGGCCACCCUGGACCUGAGCCCCGGUCCAGCCUCCUACGGGAGGAAGCAGUAGGGAAUCUUCCGCAAUGGGCGAAAGCCUGACGGAGCAACGCCGCGUGAGUGAUGAAGGUCUCGGAUCGUAAAACUCUGUUAUUAGGGAAGAACAAAUGUGUAAGUAACUAUGCACGUCUUGACGGUACCUAAUCAGAAAGCCACGGCUAACUACGUG